This 497-nucleotide ribosomal RNA is filed under the name uncultured bacterium. Its description in RNAcentral is "partial 16S ribosomal RNA". It matches the Rfam family "Bacterial small subunit ribosomal RNA", at positions 28 to 507 of the family's 1533-position model. The record is from RNAcentral.
GAUGAACGCUGGCGGCGUGCCUAAUACAUGCAAGUCGAGCGAACGGACGAGAAGCUUGCUUCUCUGAUGUUAGCGGCGGACGGGUGAGUAACACGUGGAUAACCUACCUAUAAGACUGGGAUAACUUCGGGAAACCGUAGCUAAUACCGGAUAAUAUUUUGAACCGCAUGGUUCAAAAGUGAAAGACGGUCUUGCUGUCACUUAUAGAUGGAUCCGCGCUGCAUUAGCUAGUUGGUAAGGUAACGGCUUACCAAGGCAACGAUGCAUAGCCGACCUGAGAGGGUGAUCGGCCAGACUGGAACUGAGGCACGGUCCAGACUCCUACGGGAGGCAGCAGUAGGGAAUCUUCCGCAAUGGGCGAAAGCCUGACGGAGCAACGCCGCGUGAGGGAUGAAGGUCUUAGGAUCGUAAAACUCUGUUAGUAGGGAAGAACAUAUGUGUAAGUAACUGUGCACAUCUUGACGGUACCGAAUCAGAAAGCCACGGCUAACUACGUG